ACAUUCCUAACUUGGUACAGGUCUUUUACAAUGUUUCACAAGUUGAAUAUCUAGUAACUUAUGAUAAUUCAAUAUCUUUGGUAAGGAAGCACGUAAUAAAAUCAACUUUCAAACCAAACUACAUUGUUUACUAUCAAAGGUUAGUAUCUUGCUACACUAUUUCGUGACUUCAUCCCGAGCAUUGAACCUAUAACAAACUAACAGCAGUUGCAGUGAAAACAGAUACAAAUUGAAAGUAUGUUUAUGACACGACUUGAACAUAAAUGUUCUCUGAAUAAGAUGACCGG
This 287-nucleotide long non-coding RNA is filed under the name Mytilus galloprovincialis (Mediterranean mussel). Lineage: Eukaryota; Metazoa; Mollusca; Bivalvia; Mytilida; Mytilidae. The record is from RNAcentral.